Molecule: non-coding RNA, 302 nt
Organism: Nicotiana tabacum (common tobacco)
Lineage: Eukaryota; Viridiplantae; Streptophyta; Magnoliopsida; Solanales; Solanaceae
Source: RefSeq, a predicted model, not a curated record
CGAGUUUUUCACCAUUUUUUUGACUUCCAAGCUCGGGUUUUGGGCGAUUUUUGGAGCAAAAUGAAGAGGGUUUCGAUGGGAAUUGAUUGGAGAUUCGUCGCUCGUGGAGGAGAAUUCGAAAGGAAAAGGCAUUUCGGGCUAGUUUUUCGGCCGUGUCGAGAUACAGGUAGAGCUGAGACAGCACCUAAGCGCUGGUUUUAUCCAGACCAGGCUGUGACGAGGAGAGCGAGGUAGCUGUUGGCGUUCGCAGCCCCGUUUUCUCCCUUAUCUUUUAUUACUUGUAUUAUUUCCAGACUUGUAAA